GAAGACAGCAGAUCCAUUGAGUGAAAGUGUGUCAUUUUUACAGUCGUGUCUCUGAGCACAACCACAUUUAAGAAAGCCACAAACCUGGAUGGCCAUGUGAUUUUACAUUUAAAAAAAGAGAUUUAACGUGUUACAGCACAUUUUCCCUAGGCUACGGAGCAACGGUUUCUUGCUUAGCUGUGAGUUCAUAAAUUAUCAGGUCAGGUUCAUGCACUAUCAUGUUUCAAGACAGAGCUGUUUUACAAAUAAUACAAGGCGGUUGUUCUCCUCCAUGGGCAGGUAUACAGGGAGAGCCAGCUCAUCUGAGUGAUAAAUAUUGCAGAGCAACAGCAGAGAGGAGGAAGAUAAUCCAAAUGCCUUCUGUGGACAGCCCUGGAAGGAUGAGGAAGAAGCUUCCCAUUUCUAAGCCCAGGGAGAGGUCACUUCUGAGGACUAAGCGGGAAGUUGCAUCUAGAAGCCGGAACUUACAACACCAGCUUCCUUGGGAGUAUUUUGAUGCUUUCACUGCCUGUCAAAAUCAGGAAGUAUAAAAUGCAGAGAAAACUUACUUAAAGAUAAAAAGUUCUUUUUACAAAAAUAUGUCUUACAACCAGAUAUCUGAUGGAGUUGGGAACAGGUUAUUCCUUUGUCUACUACUCUAAAUUUAAGUGUAAGUGUCCUGUGGCACAGUUGUGAUGAUGUUGAUGCCUGUAAAUGUUCUGAUUGCAUUGGGGGGUGAUCACAGAAUCACAGAGUCAUUUGAGUUGGGAGGGACCCUUGAAGGUCAGUCAGGUCUAACUCCUCUGCAGUGAGCAGGCA
Molecule: long non-coding RNA, 798 nt
Filed under: Coturnix japonica (Japanese quail)
Lineage: Eukaryota; Metazoa; Chordata; Aves; Galliformes; Phasianidae
Description: lncRNA (ENSCJPG00005007170.1)
Source: RNAcentral